Molecule: long non-coding RNA, 664 nt
Organism: Hibiscus syriacus
Lineage: Eukaryota; Viridiplantae; Streptophyta; Magnoliopsida; Malvales; Malvaceae
Exons: 4
Source: RefSeq, a predicted model, not a curated record
CCGGGAAUUUCCCAAAAUCCAAAUCCGAAAUCCCAUCCCUCUUAUUGGGGUUUCCCGCUGGAGAAUUAGUGGACAGAGAGUGGGGUUAGAAUAGUGGAGACAAACACUUGCGUCAGAGGUUGCUGCUCCAGCGACUCCAUCCCUCUUCACCUUCCUCCUACUUCCUUCACUCUUCUCUCCCCUAUUGCCAGGGGGGCCGAAAGCGUUGUUUAUGAAGCGAUUUUGGAUGGAAAGAAAGUUGCUGCGAGGAAGCCAAUCUUGUCUACUUCGGAGGAGUUGAAUAAAUUUCACAAGGAGUUGCAGCUCCUGUGCCACUAGACCAUCAUGGCAUCGCUACUCUCGUCGCCGCCCAUGCCAAGCCUCCCAACUAUAUGUUCUUCUUCUAAUUCUAUGAACAAACCAACCUUGCUCAUAAAUUACAUGUUCAAGAAUGGAUUCCCGAUCUUGAUCAGGCGCUGCCAAUCAUGCUCCAGUUAGCGAAGGCUUUGCAAUAUCUGAUAACAAAGGAAUUGUACAUAGAGAUGUGAAACCAGCAAAUGUUCUCCUUGACAGCAACUUUUCUGCACACCUAGCUGACUUUGGCUUGGCAGAAUAUAAGAAAGAUCUCAAAAGAGUCUCUAUUGAGAAUUGGAGAUCAUCAGUUAAGCCAACAGGUGGUUUUCAC